Molecule: long non-coding RNA, 3701 nt
Organism: Pantherophis guttatus
Lineage: Eukaryota; Metazoa; Chordata; Lepidosauria; Squamata; Colubridae
Source: RefSeq, a predicted model, not a curated record
AACACAAUUCAUCCAUUCCAGUAGCAAUAUUAGAGAAGUCAACAAAACUAAGAAAGACGCCACAUAAUCUUUUCUGUCUGGGAGCUGCAGCUGACGCUUUUCUGCUUCAGGUUUCAUGGAAGAAAUAAAUUGAAACUGGAAUGAUUGAAAGACAGAAAACUCACCUCCCAAGAUUUUAAUAGUUUGAGCCUGCCCAGCCUCUAUUUGAAAAGAAGAGAGACUUCUGAAGAGCCUUUGAAAUAGAUGGCAAAAUUCCAUCUUAAAUAUUUUUCUUAACAAAGAAUCAAUUGCAGAAGAUGGAGAAUGCAAGAGCUGAGAAAACAUGUGUCCAAAUGCUGUGAGGCAUGGAAAAGGAGGAGCAAACUUAACAGAGUUCCCACAAAACAUAACCUUUGCGAGGGAAGGAAGGAAGGAAAGUAAAUCCAGCUUGUGGUGCUUUUAGAAGAACUGAUACAGGCUUAGAAAAACUUGGCUCAACUUUUAAAAUUAACCACUAUCUUGGGGAAUGGCAGCUGGUCAAAGACUGCAUAUGGAAAAGCCCUAAAAAGUAUUUAAUUUUGGCUGAAGAGUGUACGUAAUGAAUAAUCACCCAAUGAAUGAAUAGUCACCCAAAUCCCUACCUUUGGAAGGAAAGUAAAAAAAUAGAAGCAUGUGCAAGUAUAAUCCAAAAUGCAUAAAUGUAUAUAGGCUUCUGUUGACUCAGGUCACGGUUUCAUCUCUAGCUAAGUAAAAAGGACUACACCUGAUCGGAGGCUUAUUAGUCUGAGAGAUAUGAAGCAUGAGAUUUCCUAGAAUGAUACCUUUUAAAAUAGAGAAUCAGUUAUGGGGCACAGAAUGUGGAGGUUACGUCCUGCUUGUUCCCAUGAAGGGGAUCUCUAAAUGUUCCACUCCUAAUCCUAAUGUUUCCUUUUACAACUUCUUCAUGGCGUGAAACCGCCCCCCCUUUUUUUUUUAGUUUUUUAACUUUUUAAAUUGUCAAAUGGGUUUUAGUUUUCAAUGUUUUAAAUUUUGGGGCCACAGUUAUUUAAUUCUUUUAAUAAUUUUAAAUUUUGUAUUGAUAUGUGUUUUAGUUCUGGCUAUGCACCACCCUGAGUCCACUUGGAGAAGGGCGGGAUAUAAAUUGAAUAAAAUAAGUAAAAUAAAUAAAUAGGAGUAUCAGAUCCAACAAGUGUUACCAUCAGCCACUUGUCUUCAAAGAAAUCUUUCUCAGACUUGGUUCACUUAGGAAGAGGUAAGUAGUAAUUCUCCUUUUGGUAACUGUUUGAGCUGAAAGAUUUGUGCUAAAAGAAUCAUUUUGGUCUAGUGGUUAAGGCACUAGGCUAGAAAGUGGCAGACCGUGAGUUCAAGACCCAUCGUAGCCAUGAAAGCCAGCUGGAUGACUUUGGGCCAGUCAUUCUCAGCCCAGCCCAUCUCACUGUUGCUUUUGUUGUUGUUGUUGUUUUGGGGACAAUAGGAGGAGGAAGGCAUGCUGGAUAUGUUCACCAUCUUGAGUUAUUUAUAAAAAUAAUAAAGAUGGGAUACAAAUAAAUAAAUAGGGUUUUCCCCUCCCAGGUGUAUGUUGUUGAUUCAUUAAGAAUUUGAAUCUUUAUUAUGUAUACCAAGUCAGAGAACUAGAAGGAAAUGGAAAAGUACAGAGAUAGGGAAAAAGAGAAGACAGAAAGAUUAGUUCUGAAGAUCUCAGCUGCUAGUCUCCCUGACUAGGAAAUUUCACAUGCACAGAUGCACACCUCAGAUCAUAACAUUAAAUUGAAUCUACAUUGCAUCUAGCCCAAUUGGUCCUAGUUUGGUAUACAAUUCCUUAAUCAUAACUUGGAUAUUUAUGUUCUGGAGCUCUAACCAAGCCCAAAAACAUGGGAAUGAGUGCCAAUGGGGCAAACACAAAAGGUAAGACAAAAUGGAGCAAGUCCUUCCUCUUUUUAAAAGCCCACUGAAAGGGGAAAUAAGCAAUUGCUUUUUUGAAUGUCUCUGCCAGUGUCACUUGAUUAACAGGUAAGGUUUUCCUUUAAUUUCCUUUUGUGUCUGAACCUCUUGGAAUAGAAUAGAAUUUAUUAUGAGUACAGAUGCUUACAACUUAACCUGGAGCAAGUUUCAUUAAAAAAAAACAACCCAUACAGACCAAGUGUUUUAAUUCUGAGCUGUUAUUAUUCUCCCCAGUGCAGGAUGUAUCUAGUGACUCCAUCACCCUUAUACAAUGAUGAAGUCACUGGAAAUAUGUCAUAUAGCACACUAACUUCUCCACAUUGCUAAGAUACUGCAGUGGAUGCUGGGUGAUAUAAUUGUGCUCUCCCACCCUGUCUCACACUCCUAGACUCUGACUCUGUAGAGUGGGAUACAGCUGUGGCACACUCCUGGGUCAUAUGGAUUUCAGUAACUUGAGAGAAGAACUAAAUAACAUACGUUUUGGUAACAAUUUGACUGCAUUUGAAAUAGGCUGAAUCCAUGUAAAUUGCUAUUGCUUAACAUGCAUUGUCACUUCAGAAUCAACCAAGAUAGCAGCCCUUAUCAUUAUUUCAGAUCAAAGGCAGUUCUUUUUAAAUCAAAACCUUUCUUUUUCUGCUUUGUUUUAAAUUGGAGUGUUAUGCUGAAAAUAACGCUCCAGUCUAAGAUUUUCUUUUAAAAAAAUGGAUUUGAUUUUCAGCAAACAUAUUCGUCUCAGGAAAAGACCAAUAAGGGAAGAACAAAAUCUUUGGAUUAUCGCUAGAAGUAUUUGCUCUUCUCCAACAAUCCAAAUAGCCUGCUCAGCAGGAGACAGAGACAUGAAACAAAAUUCUCAGUGGCCUUGGUACAGUGUUUGUACUGUUGUUGCAAAACAAUGAAGCUAGGCACAAGUCCUGCUGAAAGAGCCAGAGGGAUCACAUUUUGUCCCUGUAUAUUAUCUGUUGGAAUUUACACAAAAAGAAAGCUCAUAUACCAAAACUGCAAAUAUUAUCUAUGUGGAAAAGAACUGGAUGUGUUUGAUUGCCAGUGAUUUAGUUUGUAUUUACACCAAAUUAUAUUUGACAUUGUAUUCAUUUGCAAAAGAAACUGAAUUAAUUUGUAACUUAAGAUAGCAACUUGAAAACAAUUUGCAACCAAUGUUCCCUUCAUAAGAUAAUGUACGACAAUAGUGCCGAGGGGCAGGCCAAGUAGCUUGAAAGAAAACUAGGAACAGGAAAUAAAAACAAACAUUAUAAUUGUGUACUUUUUUCUUAUUAAAAACACAGACAUUUACCUUCUUUGUGAAUCCAUAAAAUGGUGCUUGCAUUAUCUGAUAAUAUGUGAACUACUGCACUGCGAUGUUGCUUCUUCCCGUGAAGGUCAAAAGGCAAACAUUUAUGCAGCAAUUUCACCUCAAUUCCUUAACUCCCAUUUCCAAAGGCCUGACACUUGUGGGAAGAAGACAUAAGAUACAGUUGAUCCUUCCCACAUAGCUAAGCUUUCUUACAUCAUUCCAUCUGAGGUAGGAAAGAGUAGUAUUUCUACUGGGGAACUUACUCUAAAUAGCAGACCUAACUAUUCCGAAGCUUUCUAGAUGCCCAGAAAGAUGAUUCCAUUCCCAGUCAUAUCUUCUUCUGUGUCAAGAAAUAGCUGCUCUGAACAGAAUGAUCCUGAAAUUCAUGAAAGCCACAGUCAUGAACCUAUUAUUGAAGUUAUGCCCCAAGACUUAAUACAUUAUAUGAUACAAUGAAUUUCUUUCUUUCUUUCUUUCUUUCUUUUUCUUU